This is a long non-coding RNA of Cololabis saira (Pacific saury), 2224 nucleotides long. RefSeq lists it as uncharacterized. The transcript is spliced from 2 exons. NCBI's taxonomy places the organism in Eukaryota, Metazoa, Chordata, Actinopteri, Beloniformes, Belonidae. The record is from RefSeq and is a predicted model, not a curated record.
AGCUGGCAGGCACCAGCGCGUAUACCUGUCACUUUCUGCUCUGCCAUGCUUAGCAUAGCUUAGCUUUUUAGCUGACUUAGCAUGCAACACUAAAUUAAUCCAUAACUCCUUCCCACCUGCAGGCCCGUAGCGUGGAGACGUUGCGGAUAGCCAGCUGUUUGGGUCAAUGUGCCAAUGAAUUGAUGGCAAUAUUUUUCCUAGAAAAUAAACUUUUAUAAGUUUAGAAGUUUGAAGAGUUAUCUUUUAUCCUUCCUUCUGUUGAUCUUUAUUCAUUUUAUCCAUUAGCCACUAGUAUAAUUUAAUUGACUUUAACAUAAAUAAAACACAUCGUCAAGUUCCUUGGCAGUGUUUCCCGUAUACUGUUGCCGUUUGUCUUCAUUUCUCUGUUUUUUCAACAUCUGUGUUCAAAACUUCAUGUGCAACAGCUCAUUAAUCUAAUCUUAUAUAAAGGAAAUAAAAUGAGUUAAUUUUCAAUUCUUGUUUUAUUUACAGUAAUUCAGUGAAUAUAACAAUUAAACGAAAAACAUUCUCCAGCCUCUACAAUGUGUUACACACUGAUAAAAUACUAAUAAAACAAAUAAUUCAGUUUGUAAAGAAAAAAAAAGGAAAUAACAUUCCACCUGAAUGCUUUCCCACCUCUGAAAAGACUAAACUGGAGUUCAUACUGGAUUGCAAGACAGAUUAAAAAAAAAAGCUACACCCUUACAGGAAAACAAUAAUGCAAUGGUAUUGUCAAUAUAUUAAAUUACUUAUUAUAUUAUAAUGAACUAUAAUUAAUUAUGAAUGAAUUGUCAAAAUAUAAUAUUUCCUUAUUGUCAAGGCAACAUUUCUUCAUAACAAACAAUUUGUGUAGAAAACAUCCACAUAUUUUAUGUGAAAAAUGCUUAUAACCUCCAAAUGAGAGAAUAGUUUUUUCAUUGCUUUUACAGAAUGUUUAUUAAGAAUACAAAUUGUAUUUAUACCUCUACACAAAAAAGAAAAUUGUUUUCACCAGAUGAGUAGAUGACAGGAACCAAGACCAUCUUUGAACAAAUAUUCUCAAAAGGUUUUUGCCAAAAAAGAUAUGCAUGAAAGCAAAAACACAGUUUAUCUCAACACAAUGUUUUAGAUUUUCUUCUUCGAUGCUUCGUUGCUAAUGAAGGGACAGUCGUAGUCUGUCCAGCUGAUGAUCUUCGUCGGUUGACUUUUUUUUUUUUUGUCUUUUUCAGUUGGCGUGUUUUUAUGUUUGGUCGGAGACAUGGACAAUCUCAACUGAAGGCACUGUUUGACACACUUCAUGUUAUCAUGUACUGCCUUUUUGAUGUAGUUGGUAUUUCACCCCCUCAUACUUUACCAUUACAAGCUGGUACUCACUUGAUGAAACAUAAGCAACAUAUGUCAUCUGUAACCGACCUCAUGGUCUGCUUAGGAAUCCCAGCUUGGCUUCCCUGCACAUCAUGUGCUGAAUGGAAACUUGGGCAUCAAUUAAUCUGUCUCCACACAUUUACAAAAGGCGUGUCUAACUGGUGUUAGGAGUUUUAAAUAGAUGGAACCUUCAGCUCAGUGUCACACCAGCUGGUGAUUUGAAGCUCUUCUACUGCACAUUUACGCUUCACACGUCUUCUUUCCUUCAUUCCAGCUCUUCCAGUAUGGCGACACUGUGGAUACACGCCAUCUCAGUUCUGCUCUUACUGGCCGUGACCCGUCCGAGCACAGAAGCCACUAGUUUACUGCAACUGUGUGGCCAGCCUCUGGUGGAUGCCCUUUACGAAGUCUGUGGAGACAAAGGCUUCUACUACCGCUCACGCGCAGAGGAUACUACCAUUGUGAGGGUCUGCUGUCACCAGCCCUGCCACCACUCUGAACUGGCAAACUAUUGCGCCGACUGAGCUGGCAGGCACCAGCGCGUAUACCUGUCACUUUCUGCUCAGCCAUGCUUAGCAUAGCUUAGCUUUUUAGCUGACUUAGCAUGCAACACUAAAUUAAUCCAUAACUCCUUCCCACCUGGAGGCCCAUAGCGUGGAGACGUUGCGGAUAGCCAGCUGUUUGGGUCAAUGUGCCAAAGAAUUGAUGGCAAUAUUUUUCCUAGAAAAUAAAGUUUUAUGAGUUUAGAAGUUUGAAGAGUUAUCUUUUAUCCUUCCUUCUGUUGAUCUUUAUUCAUUUUAUCCAUUAGCCACUAGUGUAAUUUUAUUGACUUUAACAUAAAUAAAACACACUGGCAAGUUCCUUGGCAGUGUUUCCUGUA